GAGGCGAGGGAUCGCAGCUGAGCGAGGCGGGCACCCACUCCCCAGCGUAUGCCGCUGGAGCGCGCUGAGCGUGUGCCGGGGGCUGGGCCUAAGUUCUCCCCAACCCUUGCCAGCCGAGUUGGAUAAGAGGGGGUCGGGAGAAAAUAGAGCCCUGAUCCCCCCUCCUCCCUAGGGCCCAGAGAAUCGGUGUGCAUGCGUGUGUGCGCGCACGCGCGUGUGUGUGACGGGUGGUGGUCGGGGAAUGUCUCAAGCUAGAAGUCCCAGGUUUUAGGGGUUUAAGUGGAGCUGGGAGACCCGCUUUCCUCCCACACCAGGCGCAGACGCCGAGGCACAGCUCCGCCAGCCGCCCCGCCUUUACCUGGCGGGAUACUCACCUCUCCUCCUUCCUGGGGAGGCCACCGCCUCCCUCUCCCCCUUCUGCCCUGGGCUGGUUCCCAGCGAGGUGAGUGACCGGCACAAGUAGGGAAGGAGGAAGCGAGUUUUUAAAAACUGAGUCAGCUCACGCCCUCGGCCAGGGUCCCCACCCGAUGCGUGGUCCCCAGGGCGCCCUCGGGAUCGCACGCCCGAGUCCCGGCCCAGGUGGGGCCCAUUCCGGGUUCUUGCGCGCGGGCAAUGGAUGGGGGCGCGCUGCACCGGGAGCCUGCCCUGCUGAGGGCUCAUCCCCAGCUUUGCCGAGAACUUUCCCGGCGAGGCACCGGCUGGCGUUUUCCCAGCCUGCGAGUGGCAGGCGGGCAGCCAGUCUCUGCUCGGAUCCACGGAGGCCCGGAGCCGCCACGGAGUUCUGGCUCCGGGGAGUGCAAACCCGAAGUCGGCGCGGAAGCCUCUCACCCGCGGCUCUGCCUCCGCCCCUUGGAGAUCUGCCCUCGGAACUGCGUUGCUCUGGCGCCCGAACUAGGGUGGGCUGGUUUCAGCCAGACCGCCAAAAAACGUGGAUGCUAAACACAGAGGGAAGAGCCAGCUCCCAUUCCCUCUCUGAGCCUUAGAUUUUUUUGAAUUCCGAGAGAGGUCAGGCCGGGGUCCCCUUCUUGGGUGAGCGUCCAGCCCUUUGAAGUUCAAACACUGAGAAGCCGAUAGGCAGCUGGCUGGCGUCACAGGAUCGAGCCGAGGACUGAAGGCGCCUCCUACCGGGAAUCCACCGCCUCCAGACGAAAAUAGGCUGCAAUCAAGUUCACUUCCAAAGGCGGAAUUCAUGGGUACAUAUGGUGUCCACGUGUGUACACCUGCAGAGUUGUAACAUGCGGGCAUUUCUCCCCUCAGCCCGCCAUUCUGGCUUCUUAACUUGCACCCUAACAGCUCGACAGAACCUUGGCGUCCACAAAAAGGCAAUGGCUCUUCUUCCUUUAGGGGAAGCCUCAUCCAGCAGAAAAGCAGAGAUGCUUUUGAGUUUCAAGAACCAAUACUUUGGCAUUACAAGAGCCUGGGCUUUGAGUUUCAAAAGUAGAAGUCCCAGAGGCUUCUAGGAAUAAAAUUUGUGGCAUUAACAAGACAUCCUGAAGACUGAGCACGAUGCAAAAGUCAUUUCCCCAUGACCAAGAUGAGGUCAAGUGCCCUGGGCCAGGGGUCUGGACAGAGGAUCUAAGGAGAGUGGAUGAGCCAUGAUGAUGUGGGGCUAGGGAGGUGGGUGGUGCCCAAGCGGCAGUCCCACACUAGCUUCAUAAGUGUGGCUUUCAGGCAAGCUCAGGAGAGUGCCUGCUCCUCCCCUCCCAAGGCACAGAUGCAGUGGGGGAGGGAGUAAUUGGCAGAGGGGUGACGCAGCCUUGCAGAGGUUUACCAAGCUCUGCCAACAUCUCCCGUGUGCCCCAGAGGAGGGAGGAAGAAGCUGAGAGGAGGAGAAAGAGGCCAGGCACAGAGACUUCCAGGAGGCCUAGGCAGCUGCAUCUGCCAUCAGGAAGAUGGAAGUGAGGCCAACAUAGCAGAUGUCAGGGGACACCAGACACUGACCUCUGCCCAGGCCUUGGCACUUUCUGAGCCUCCUCUACCCCAAAAACAAAUCUAGACGCAACCCAGGGCAAGAGGUAGGGAGGCCCUGAUUAAUUAUGGCUAGAUGUCUUUCUACCAGCCAAAUGGGGACUUGAAAUAGAAAUUCAAUCUAAUUUUGAGAGUGGAAGUUGUGUUUCUUGCACCUCUAGGAUGUGACUGAAGGUCCUUCUGGUUUCCCUGCUGUUCCUCAAAGGGCUUUGCAUGUCUUGCUCUGCUUUCUUGCUCAUUUCUACACAAAGGAGGAGGUUACCAGGGUUCUUUAGGAGAAACAGAUGUGGCAGAGUCAUAGAGUGGAGGUCACAAUAUUCCUCCUGCCCUUUCUGCAUCCUCUUGUGAGCAGCCCACCAGUCUCUCCUUCCUACCAUCCAAACUGUCCCAAUCCCCUCCUCUGCAGAAAAGCCUCCCAGUAUUGACACAGCAGAGUGGAUGGUUCUUUGUACCUACUUCAUAACGACCAUAAGCCCUCAACCAACAGUGUACCUGCUCUUACCCUACCUGUCAUUGUGUGUACUUGGGUGGAAGUUCAGUAUUACACAAUGUUGUCUGGGUAGCAGUUGUCUUUGUUGUGACUCUUUGAGAUCUUUAGAUUAGAGUGUUGCAGUUUUGGCACUAUUGACAUUUGGGCUGGGAAUUCUUUGUCGUGGGAGACUGGUGCAUUGCAGGAUGCCAAACAGCUUCCCUGGCUCUACUCUCCAGAUGCCAGUAGCACCCCUUUCCCCAGCUGUGACAAUCAAAAUGUCUCCAGACAUUGCCAACUGUUUCCCCUGGUGGCAGAGGAAUCAGCCCCAAUUAAUAAUGGUUGCUUAGCUGGGUGCAGUGGCUCACGCCUGUAAUCCCAGCACUUUAGGGGGCUGAGGCAGGCAGAUCACUUGAGGCCAGGGGUUGAAGACCAGCGUGGGCAUGGUGAAACCUAGUCUCUACAAAAAAUAACAAAAACUAGCCGGGUGUGGUAGCAGGUGCCUGUAGUCUCAGCUACUUGGAAAACUGAGGUGAGAGGAUGGCUUGAAGUCGGGAGGUCGAGGCUGUAGUGAGCUGAGAUGGCGCCGCUGCACUCCAGCCUGGGUGACAGAGUGACACCCUGUGUAAAAAAUAAAAACCAACCAACCAAACAAAAGAACUAUUGCUUAAAACAUUGAACACAGGAUCCCCGGCAUAUGGCUUUUGCUCUGGAAUUGAUGUCUAGGAGGAUAGAGAGCAAAAUUUAGUCAGAAAAUCGGUGGCCUCGAGGUCAGAAGACCUAGGUUCAAGCUCUAGUUCCAUCACUUCCGUCUUGCGUGAUUUUGAGCAAAUCAUAUAGCUUUUCUGAGCUUCAGUUUCCCUAUACGUAUAUUGGGGAAUAAUAAAUGAGGAGAGGGAUUUUCAUUUGUUUUGUUCACUGCAGUACCCCCAAUACCUAGAAUAGCACAGGGCACAUAGGAAGUACUCUAUACAGAUGGGUUGACUGAAGAACUCUAUCUCCGCUCCGCCUCCCCCACACCCAGGGCUUCUGCAGGGUUCAAAUGAAAAAGUCUAAGAACUUCCAUGACUGAGGGGUCACAGGAAAUAUUGCACCCCAUUCAAACUCAGAAAACAACAGCCACUAGCUGACAUUUUCUAAAUUAAUUUUAUAAAUCAUAAAGAUUCGUAAUAGCCAAAAACUGGGAACAAACCAAAUGUCUUUCAAUGGUAAAUGGUUAAACUGUAGUGCAUCUAUACCAUGGAAUACUACACAGGAAAAAAAAAACCCAAAUCAGCCGGGCAGGGUGGCUCAUGCCUGUAAUCCCAACGUUUGGGGAGAUGGAGGAUGGGGUGGAUGACUUGAGGUCAGGAGUUCAAGACCAGCCUGGCCAACAUGGCAAAACCCCAUCUCUACUAAAAAUACAAAAAAAUUAGCUGGGAGUGGUGGUGCACACCUGUAAUCCCAGCUUCUUGAGAGGCUGAGGCUUGAGAAUCACUUGAGCCUGGGAGGUGGAGGUUGCAGUAAGCCGAGAUCGUGACGCUCCACUCCAGCCUGGGCAACAGAGGAAGACUCUGUCUCAAAAAAUAAAACAAAACAAAACCCCCAAAUCAUUGACAUACGCAACAACCUGGAUGGAUUUGAAGGGAAUUAUGCUAAGUAAAAAAACACCAAUCUCAAAAGGUUAUAUACUCUAUGAUUCCAUUUAUGUAAUAUUCUUGGAAUAAAUUAUAUAGAUGAAGAACAUUGCCAGGGGUUGGGGAUGAAGGUGGCCACAGUGGGGUCACCUGAGGAAGCUCAUGUUGAUGGAACAGUUCUAUAUUUUUUGAAAAUGUCUUAUUUUUAAUUUUAUGGUUAUAUAAUAGGUGUAUAUAUUUAUGGGGUACAUGAGAUAUGUUGAUACAUGCAUACAAUGUGUAAUAAUCACAUGGUAAAUGGGGUCUCCACCUCAAGCAUGUAUCAUUUCUUUGUGUUAUGAACAUUCUAAUUCUAAUCUUUUAGUUAUUUUAAAAUGUACUAUAAAUUAUUGUUGACUGUAGUCACCCUGUUGUGCUAUCAAAUACUAGAUCUUAUUCAUUCAUUCAUCUUAAUCAUUCUAACUAUAUUUUUGUACCCAUUACCCACCCCACUUCCCCUUCACUCCCCAUUACCCAGCCCAGUCUCUGGUAACCAUCAUUCUGCUCUCUGUCUCUAUGAGUUCAAUUGUUUUAAUUUUUAGCUCCCACAAAUGAGUGAGAACAGGUGAAGUUUGUCUUUCUGUGCCUCACUUAUUUCACUUAACAUAAUGACUUCCAGUUCCAUCCAAAAACAGGCAAAGGCCAGGAUCUCAUCCUCUUUUAUGGCUGAGUAGUACUCCAUUGUGUAUAUGUACCACAUUUUCUUUAUCCAUUAAUCUGUUGAUGGACACUUAGGUUGAUUCUAAAUCUUGGCUAUUGUGAAUAGUGCCUCAAAAAACAAGGGAGUGCGGAUAUCUCUUUAAUCUACUGAUUUCCUUUCUUUUGUGUAUAUACCUAGGAGUGGAAUUGCUGGAUCAUGUGGUAGCUCUAAUUUUAGUUUUUUGAGGAACCUGCAAACUGUUCUCCAUUGUGGCUAUACUAAUUUACAUUCCUACCAACAGUGUAUGAGGGUUCCCUUUUCUCCAUAUUCUCCAUAUUCUCUCCUUAGUUUUGUGUUGUUUUUUUGGGCAGAUGGGGACAGAGUCCUGCUCUAUCCCCCAGGCUGGAGUGCAGUGGUGCAAUCUCGGCUCACUGCAACCUCUGCCUCCCGGAUUCAAGUGAUUCUCAUGCCUCAGCCUCCCGAGUAGCUGGGAUUACAGGCGCCUGCCACCAUGCCCAGCUAAUUUUUGUAUUUUUAGUAGAGACAGGGUUUUGCCAUGUUGGCCAGGCUGGUCUUGAAUUCCUGAACUCAAGUGGUCCUCCCACCUUGGUCUCCCAAAAUGCUGGGAUUACAGGCGUGAGCCACCACACCUGGCCCAGUUCUGUGUUUUGAUUGUGAUGCUGGUUACACAAACCUACACAAAUGAUAAAACUGUAUAGAAUCUCACACACACACAGGAAUGUGAUCUGCAGAAAUGAUAAAACCGCAUAGCAUCACACACACGUGAAUAUAGGUGAAGCAUGAAACCAAUGUUAUAGAAUAAGCUCUGUGGAUUAUACCAAUGUCAGUUUCCUGGCUGUGAUAUUGCACUAUAGCUAUACAAGAUGUUACCACUGGGGGAGGCUGGGUGAAGGGCACAGAAGAUCUCCCUAUAUAACUUUUUCAGUUUCCUUUGCAUCUGUAAUUACUUUAAAAUAAAGACUUUUAACCCACAUAAUAAAUCAUACAUAGGGAGAUGGGCAAAAAAUUAUCAAAAGCAUGUGCAGUGUUGAAAAAGUUAAAUUCCCCAAAUUACCAGAGGACGUUUGAGACUCAGACCACAAAUCAAGCUGGCAGGAAAUAGAACUAGUUUUCCAUGACUCAGUCUAAUUUAUCUUACAAGCCUCCAUUCUGCCAGGUGGCGGAAAUAUUCCCCUCCUCCUUUGGCUGGAAUGGCAUCUAAGUUCCGAGGGCCUUAUGCAGUGCCAAAGGCCCCCCCAGGGGGACACCUGGUCCCUGUUCCCAGGCUGGCUGUCAGCCUUCGGUCUGUGUAAGCCCCUGCCAAGCUGUCCUUCACCCCAAACCCAACACCAUGCUGUGCUCGACGGAAACCUGGCAGGAAGACAAGCCACUACCUGGUGUCCUGCAGUUCAAAUGCAGUCCUCGUGUGUUUUGUUCGGCCCAUAGAGUAUUUUAAAUCACUACUUGCCAAUAUUUGAAAUGGGGCAUUUUCACAUACGAGUGUAGAUAUCUGGGCUAGUCCUCUUUGCACACGUCCCCUGGGGCAGCAAUCGGCUGGACCUCACUGUGUGGCAGCUGCCCCUUGAACCUGGGCUUGCCUCCUUGUGGGUUCAUCACGGUCCCCACCAUUUCUGACCCCUUCAUUUGGCUGGAUUCACUCUUUUUUUGUUAUGUUUUGAGAUGGAGUCUCACUCUGUCGCCCAGGCUGGAGUGCAGUGGCACGAUCUCGGCUCACUGCAACCACUGUUUCCCAGGUUCAGCGAUUCUCCUGCUGAAGCCUCCUGAGUAGCUGGGACUACAGGCACGCGCCAUCACACCCAGCUAAUUUUUGUAUUAUUAGUAGAGAUGGGGUUUCACCAUGUUGGUCAGGCUUGUCUCGAACUCCUGACCUUGUGAUCCGCCAGGCUCGGCCUCCCAAAGUACUGGGAUUACAGGCGUGAGCCAUCACACCCGGCCUGGAUUCACUCUUUUACAAAACCUACCUGGCAACAUGGAAGCUCGAGGUGGCAGCCCUCACUCUUCCUCACUUCUGUCCCAUUUUGGGGUCGCUGGGGAUCAUUUUUCUCCUCCUGCUCCUUGCUGGGGUACAGAAAAACUUUGCCGUGCUAUCUCAGACCCACCUGCCGAGGGAUGGCCCUUCCAUCUAGGGUCUUGCUGCCUCCUAUGCCCACCCCGGGCUCCACACAGGAAUGGGUCACCGUGGGACACGGCCCAGGGACCUCGUUCUCGGUUUGCCUUGCUUGCUUUCAGACCUCAUCCUCCUGCUAUGGGAACUUUUAUUUGAUCUCAAGAGGCUGAAGCCUUGCCGGUCCGGCGUCUGUGUCCCCUUCCCCGCAGUGCCACAUCUGUUCUAUCGUCUACCUACACCAGUCCUUUCUGUUUCUCCUCCUCUUCUCGACUGUUGAAAAUCAAAAACCAGGACUCUCUGUUUCCCUUUUCCUGCUGUUCACCCCUUCCUGGAGGCAGUAAGCUAACAGCUGCCUGAAUUUUAGGAUGUUGGGGCAAUAGAGAAAACUGGGAAUGAAAAACGCAUUGAUGAAUUCAAAUAUAUCACCCUCAUCGUCUUUCUUCCCACGCCAGACACUGCACUAAGCACUUACACCCAUUCUGUCCCAUUUCCACGUCAAAGAGGAAAUGGGGCUCAGGGAGAUUCGCUGUUGGCCCGAAGUUGACAGCUAGUGAGGGGGCAGAGCUGGUACUUGAACCUGGAGCCUAUCCUCUUCACCACUCACUUGCCACAAAGGCGUGGCUUUGUUUCACAGCCCCCCUUCUUGCUUCCCACACUCCAGGUCCCUGUGCAUCUCCACAGGGCAGGGACCGGUGGGAAUCCUUACCUAGGUGACAGUGAAAGGCUGCUGGUCGAGCUUUUCCUAAAGUCUACCUCUGAGGGUGGCUCACUCAUCCCCAGCUGAUUGGGGUGGAUAGGGUUCCAGUUACUGACACUGUGAAAUAGCCUGACCCUUGACAGCCCUCCCUCAACCCCAGCAGGAGAGUCCAGCCAGCCGGAGCAGAUAGAUCAGCUCCCCGGAGAAGGGCAGGGUUCAAAAUGGAAGGACAAGACCAGAGGCUGAGUCACAGCCUUGGAAAAUCUAGUUACAGGGUCGGGGGAGAGGCUGGCGGCCGUCAGUUUGUAAAUCGGCAGUCCUCCCUGCAACCUGGACAAAGCCAUUUCUCGGAAAAUCCAAUUAGAAUUCAGAGCCUUGAGGGCCAGCCUGGAUUUUCUGCUGCUCAGCAACCUGCAGAGCCUGGCCCAGCUGGCCCUUGGGCCGUCCCACAUCAGAGGGCCCUGAUAGCAACAGAUGAACUUGUUAGUGGGCCCCCUGACAGCGGCUGUCGCUUUGUACUCGGCAGGAAGGCAUUCCUUUGUCACCCCUGGUAGGCAGGAACACCUGAUAAGCCAUCUGUCUGGCCAGACCUCUGUGCGCCAGCGGGCUUUGCUUGGAGGCUGGUAUUCCAGGCCCUGUGCAGUCUGCGGGGCUGGGAUCAGUGGCUGAGUCAGUGCAGCCCCAGGCACAGACUGACACACUCUGAUGUUUUCAGGUUCUCUUAUGGGUGAUAUUGUUGGACACUUGCACCUGGGACUGAUUUGGAUGGCGCUAUUGACCUACUGACCCUUUAUUUGACCAGAAAGGAGAAUGGUUUUUUGUUUUGUUUUGUUUUGGUUUUGGUUUUGGUUUUUUUUUUUUUUGUUUUUUUUUUUUUUUUUUUUUUUGAGAUGGAGUCUUUCUGUCACCUAGGUUGGAGUGCAGUGGUACAACCUCGGCUCACUGCAACCUUUGCCUCCUGGAUUCAAGCAAUUCUCCUGCCUCAGCUUCCCAAGUAGCUGGGAUUACAGGCAUGUACCACCACACCCAGCUAAUUUUUAUAUUUUUAGUAGAGACAAGGUUCCAUCAUAUUGGCCAGGCUGGUCUCGAACUCCUGAGCUCAGGUGAUCCACCCACCUCGGCCUCCCAAAGUGCUGGGAUUACAGGCAUGAGCCACAGUGCCCAGCCAGAAUUUUUUUUUUUUUAAUUCAAUGUAAUUCAAAGUUUAAAAAUUUGCACUAAUUGGGAUUAUGAUAUUGUCCUGUUAGAAGCGUCACUGUUUAUUUCACCUUAUAUCACCUUUUAGCUAAUACUGGUCACCACCGAUAGUGCUGGUACUUAGAUUUUGAGUCCUGCAUAUAUGAGGUAGCCCAGCUUGGUGCUGAAGUGCACGGUCCUGUGGCUCAGCUGCCUGGGUUCACAUCCCAGCUCUGCUGGUUGCUGACCAUGGGCCCUUGGGUGAGUUAGUUAACCUUUUGGAGCCUCAACUUCCUCAUCUGUAAAAUGGGUUAGUAAUAGUCCUGACCAAGUAGACGUCUGUGAAAUGUAGAAAGCAAUGCUUGGCUCAUGAAAAGUUGCUCUCUAAAAAGAAGCUUUCGGCUGGGCAGAGUGGCUCACGCCUGUAAUCCCAGCACUUUGGGAGGCCGAGGUGGGUGAAUCAGUUGAAGUCAGGAGUUCGAGACCAGCUGGCCAACAUGGUGAACCCUGUCUCUACCAAAAAUACAAAAAUUAGCCGGGCGUGGUGGCGGGUGCCUGUAAUCCCAGCUAUUUGUCUCUACUAAAAAUACAAAAAUUAGCUGGGCGUGGUGGUGGGCACCUGUAAUCCCAGUCACUUGGGAGGCUGAGGCAGGAGAAUCAUUUGAACCCGGGAGACAGAGGUUGCAGUGAGCCAAGAUCACGCCACUGCACUCCAGCCUCGGCGACAGAACAAGACUCUAUGUCAAAUAAAUAAAUAGGUAGGUAGGUAGGUAGGUAGAUAGAUAGAUAGACAGACAGAUAGAUGGAAGCUUUUAUUGUUGUUAUUGGAGAAAAGCUCCUAACGUAAGCGAGACUGUUCUGAGUCAGGGAGAGGUUGGAGUGGUGAGGUUGCUGCUCUUGAGUGAGGGAUUGGGUUGUUGGUCUCAGCAGACCUGUGGUUUGAAUGGCAAGGACACAGUCCUGGUAGUUGAACUAGACUCUCCGCUGUCUCUGCAGAUGCUGGAGAACCAACCAUGGAGGCUCUGUGGGAUUCACCCAGAGAGGCGUAAAGGCCAAGAGGAGAGCACCAGGCUGAGAUUUCCUCUCCAUCCCUCCUUGGAUUAUGAACUGUGGGAGGAGAUGGGCAAAGGAUGAAGGAGGAGGCUACUUAGAGGCCUUGGCUCUCAGGAAGGGGGUGGGAAGAUGGGGAGAGGUAGAAGAUGAGUGGGGAGCCCAAGCAGCUCUGCCCUGUGUCCUCCUGGCUGCUGGGGCCCCAGUCGCUCAGGAGGAGGAAGCCACGGCCAGACGUGCUGAGUUAAUGACCUUGUGGGCUGCCAGGGGAGGUGGGAGCCGCCACCCAGUCUCGUGGAAAUUCCCUGAUGACGGGUGGCUGAGAACCUCUGUGCACUGGAACCACCCUCUGGUUCUAGGCCUUUUUCUUAUUUUUUGUUUCUUCUUUUUCUUGAUGCAUAAUUUAUGUUCAGUGAGGUGCAAAAUUCUCAGGAGGCUGGCUUGAUCAAUUUUUUUUUUUUUUUGAGAUGGAGUUUUGCUCUUGUUGCCCAGGCUAGACUGUAAUGGCGCAAUCUCGGCUCACUGCAACCUCUGCCUUCCAGGUUCAAGCGAUUCUUCUGCCUCAGCCUUCUGAGUAGCUGGAAUUACAGGCAUGUGCCACCAAGCCUGCCUAAUUUUUGUAUUUUUAGUAGAGACAGGGUUUCACCAUGUUGGCCAGGCUGCUCUGGAACCCCUGACCCCAGGUGAUCCACCCACCUUGGCCUCCCAAAGUGCUGGGAUUACAGGCGUGAGCCACCAUGCCCAGCCAAUGAAUUUUUACAUAUGUAUAUACUCAUAUAGCCACUGCCUGGAUCAAAAUCAAGAACAUUCCCUGACCCAAAGAAGGUUCCCCUUGUAUCCUCUUCCAGUCAAAACCCCUAAAAAUAACCUCAGCUUGAACCUUCAUCACCAUAAAUUAAUUUUGCCUAUUUUUGAACUUCAAAUAAACAGAAAUCAUGCAGUAUGUAUUCUUUUGUGUCUAGCUUCUUUCAUCAUCAUUGAGUCUGGGAGAUCCAGCCAGGAUGUUGUGUAUAGCUGUAUUCUUCUUCUUCGUUGCUGUGUAAUACUCCAUUGUAUGAAUAUACCAUAAUUUAUAUUUUCAUUCUCCCAUUGAUGAGCUUUAGGGUUGUUUCUAGUUUGGGGCUAUUAUGAAUAAAACAGCUAUGAUCAUUUGUGCGCAUGGCUUUGGCACCCAGGAGCAUUCAUUUCUGCCAGGCAUGCACACAGGAGUGUUUCCAAGCCUUGUAGUCAUUCUACUUGAAAAUGCUCCAAGAUAAGGCAAAAGGGACCUAGUGUGUGUCCCUCACCUCCCCACCCCAUACCCACUCUAGACCAGGCUCUGGGCUCCAGGCAUGGGAGCUGAGAGGCAGAAAGAAGAGAGAGGGCACCACGCCGCAGCAGCCACAUUCAGAAGAAGAUGUAAAAACCCCUCUUGCCAGGUGGGUGUGGUGGCUCAUGCCAGUAAUUCCAACACUUUGGGAGGCCAAGGUGGCUGGGUCACCUGAGGUCAGGAGUUCAAGACCAGUCUGGCCAACAUGGAGAAACCCCGUCUCCACCAAAAAUACAAAAAUCAGCUGGGCGCAGUGGCAGGCGCCUGUAAUCCCAGCUACUUGGGAGGCUGAGGCAGGAGAAUCACUUGAACCUGGGAGGCGGAGGUUGCAGUGAGCCGAGAUUGCCCCGUUGCACUCCAGCCUGGGUGACACAGUGAGACUCUGUCUUAAAAACAAACAAACAAAUAAACAAACCCUCUUGCCAACAGCACUUCCGCUUUUAAAAAGGUCAUCUGGUCUUUUGCUGGAAAUGUGUGCAUGAGAGGUUUUCUGAGCCUUGGGAGAAGGUUCCCUUCCCGAUGGUGCCUGUUGACCUGAGAUGAUCUAGUCUAAUCUUCCCAUUUUACAGGUAGGAACUGGUGUCCAGGGAAGGGAAGUGAUGCUUCCAAAGCCACACAGCUGGUAAAUGACAGGGUCAGGAACACCAAGUGCCUUAGCUUCCAGUGGCUUUGUGUGGGGAAAAGAAAGAGAGAUCAGAUUGUUACUGGGUCUGUGUAGAAAGAAGUAGACAUAGGAGACUCCAUUUUGUUCUGUACUAAGAGAAAUUCUUCUGCCUUCAGAUGCUGUUAAUCUGUAACCUUACCCCCAACCCUGUGCUCCCUGAAACAUGUGCUGUGUCCACUCAGGGUUAAAUGGAUUAAGGGCUGUGCAAGGUGUGCUUUGUUAAACAGAUGCUUGAAGGCAGCAUGCUUGUUAAGAGUCAUCACCACUCCCUAAUCUCAGGUACCCAGGGACACAAAACACUGCGGAAGGCCGCAGGGACCUCUGCCUAGGAAAGCCAGGUAUUGUCCAAGGUUUCUCCCCAUGUGAUAGUCUGAAAUAUGGCCUUGUGGGAAGGGAAAGACCUGACCGUCCCCCAGCCCGACACCCAUAAAGGGUCUGUGCUGAGGCGGAUUAGUAAAAGAGGAAGGAACGCUUCUUUGCAGUUGAGACAAGAGGAAGGCAUCUGUCCCUGGGCGAUGGAAUGUCUCAGUAUAAAACCCGAUUGUAUGUUCCAUCUACUGAGAUAGGGAAAAACCGCCUUAGGGCUGGAGGUGGGACAGGCGGGCAGCAAUACUGCUCUUCAAGGCAUUGAGAUGUUUAUGUGUAUGCAUAUCUAAAGCACAGCACUUAAUUCUUUACCUUGUCUAUGAUGCAGAGAACUUUGUUCACGUGUUUACCUGCUGACCUUCUCUCCGCUAUUAUCCUAUGACCCUGCCACAUCCCCCUCUCUGAGAAACACCCAAGAAUGAUGAAUAAAUACUAAGGGAACUCAGAGGCCGGCGGGGAUCCUCUGUCUGCUGAACGCCGGUCCCCUGGGCCCCCUUUUCUCUUUCUCUAUACUUUGUCUCUGUGUCUCUUUCUUUUCCAAGUCUCUCGUUCCACCUAACGAGAAACACCCACAGGUGUGGAGGGGCAACCCACCCCUUCAGCUUUGUCUGUAAAUUGGGAGGAACAAUUAGAUGCAUUGAUCUUCCCCAGAGAUAAUUGGGCUACCUUGGAGCCAUUGUCAUCAAUGUUUAGGGUUUUCUAGUAACCAUUCUUCCAUGGUUUUUGGAUGCAAGCUUUUAUUUUUUAAAUUUAUUCUUUUUUCAACUUUUAGAUUCAGCAGGUACAUGUGCAGGUUUGUUACAAAGGUAUAUUGCGUGACGCUGAGGUUUGGGGUUUGAUGGAACCCGUCACCCAGGUAGUGAGCGUGGUACCUAACAGAUCGGUUUCAACCCCUGCUCCCGUCUCUCUCUCCUCCCUCAUAGCCUCCAGUGUCUGUUGUUUCCAUCUUUAUGUCCAUGUGUAGAUGCCAGAUGUCACAUUUACUCUAUUCAACAUUCAAGAGACCAUUUUGAGGCCGGGCGCAGUGGCUCACGCCUGUAAUCCCAGCACUUUGGGAGGCCAAGGUGGGUGGGCAGAUCACUUGAGGUCAGGAGUUCAAGACCAGUCUGGCCAACAUGGUGAAACACUGUGUCUACUAAAAAUACAAAAAAUUAGCCAGGUGUGGUGGCAGGCGCCUGUAAUCCUAGCUACUCGGGAGGCUGAGGCAGGAGAAUCACUUAAACCCAGGAAGCAGAGGCUGCAGCGAGCUGAGAUUGUACCACUGCACUCCAGCCUGGGGGACAGAGCAAGACUCCAUCUCAAAAAAAAAAAAAGUCAAUGUCCUUAUGGUAAUCUAUAAUGCCCUACUGAUGCCCUCUGCCUGCCUCACUUCUCUGACCUCAGCUCCUACCCCCCUCCCACUCACCUCACUCCAGCCAAAAGGUCCUCCUCAAUGUUCUUCAGCCCGGACCCCAGUGCCUCUGACCCCAGGGCCUUUGCAUUUGCUGUUCCCUCUGCCCAGAAUAGGAUAUCAAACAGUGUCAUCUUAGACGAGAUCUCUCUCCAGCUCUUGGCUUCACCUCUUCUGUACUGUCUUAUUCUUAGGCAGCCUCUCUUUUUCAUUGUGGUGCCUCUGGCUCCUCCAGGCUGUCAUCCUCCAAGGGGAAAAGAGAGUAUUUCUCUUGGCCAAUAGUUCAAUAUAAGUCCUGGAAUGGAAUCGUAUUGGCUCUGAUGAGGUCACAUGCUCAUUGCUGACCCAAUCUCCAGGGACAGGCAGGAGAAUGGAACACGAAGCUCCCAUGCUUCACUGAAACCACAGGGUUCCACGUGGAAUACGGGGAGGGAACAGGUGGGCUGAACUUGCAGCUAUGAUCCAAUACUAAUGGUGACAAUAAAAAUGAUAACAACAAUAAUAGUAGUGGCAGCCAGCAUUAACACAGUGCUUGCUCUGGUCUCAGCAGCAGGAAGGCGGGAAAACAUCUGAGACCUGGGCCAGAUGCACCUGUCAAGGUGUCUUAGGAAACUCUUACCUUGGGUGUGCAGUUGGGCUGAGAAAGCAGUGAUAUCCAAUCUUGUCCACAUGUUAGCAGCUUCUUUUAAAGAAUAACUGUGGGACCCACCUCAAACCAAUUGAAUAGGAACCUUCUGGGGUGGAAAGGAACUCUAACAUUAGGGUUUUUAAACUCUCCAGGUACUUCAAACAUGCCUUGGCUCUGUAUAUUAGUCCGUUCUCACGUGGCUAUAAGGAC
RNAcentral lists this long non-coding RNA (14350 nucleotides) under Homo sapiens (human). Its description in RNAcentral is "non-protein coding TMEM51-AS1:6". Lineage: Eukaryota; Metazoa; Chordata; Mammalia; Primates; Hominidae. The record is from RNAcentral.